ACACGUAGGGCGCAAGCGUUGUCCGGAUUUAUUGGGCGUAAAGGGCUCGUAGGCGGUUUCGUAAGUCGGGUGUGAAAACUCAGGGCUCAACCCUGAGACGCCACUCGAUACUGCGAUGACUAGAGUCCGGUAGGGGAGCAGGGAAUUCCUGGUGUAGCGGUGAAAUGCGCAGAUAUCAGGAGGAACACCAUUAGCGAAGGCGCUGCUCUGGGCCGGUACUGACGCUGAGGAGCGAAAGCAUGGGGAGCAAACAGGAUUAGAAACCCUAGUAGUCC
RNAcentral lists this ribosomal RNA (275 nucleotides) under uncultured bacterium. RNAcentral's name for it is "partial 16S ribosomal RNA". It matches the Rfam family "Bacterial small subunit ribosomal RNA", at positions 523 to 796 of the family's 1533-position model. The record is from RNAcentral.